AAGCGCUUGUGACCAGACUUGCGCCCGGCUGAUCAUCCGGUGUUCUCACCGGUGCACUCUGCCGGGCUCAGGCCAGCAUCGGUUCUCGCGGGGGGAUAAAGGUCCUGGGAACGUAGCUCCUCCGGGAGUGUUAUAGCCCAGGGCGUCAUGC
This 151-nucleotide ribosomal RNA is filed under the name Chaetomium amesii. RNAcentral describes it as "partial large subunit ribosomal RNA". The record is from RNAcentral. Lineage: Eukaryota; Fungi; Ascomycota; Sordariomycetes; Sordariales; Chaetomiaceae.